RNAcentral lists this ribosomal RNA (244 nucleotides) under uncultured bacterium. RNAcentral's name for it is "partial 16S ribosomal RNA". It matches the Rfam family "Bacterial small subunit ribosomal RNA", at positions 528 to 779 of the family's 1533-position model. The record is from RNAcentral.
CGGAGGUCCGGCGUUAUCGGAUUAUUGGUUAAGGAGCGUAGCCGCUUUGUAAGCGUGUUGUGAAUUUGCCGGCUCAACCGGUAACUUGCAGCGCGAACUGCAGAGCUUGAGUGUGCGCAACGUUGGCGGAAUUCGUCGUGUAGCGGUGAAAUGCUUUAGAUAUGACGAAGAACUCCGAUUGCGAAGGCAGCUGACGGGAGCACUACUGACGCUGAAGCUCGAAAGUGCGGUAUCGAACAGGAUU